Molecule: ribosomal RNA, 372 nt
Filed under: uncultured organism
Description: bacterial SSU rRNA
Rfam family: Bacterial small subunit ribosomal RNA
Source: RNAcentral
CAGUGGGGGCAAGCGUUGUUCGGAAUUACUGGGCGUAAAGGGCGCGUAGGCGGCCUGUUAAGUCGAACGUGAAAUCCCCGGGCUCAACCCGGGAACUGCGUCCGAAACUGGCAGGCUUGAAUCCGGGAGAGGGAUGUGGAAUUCCAGGUGUAGCGGUGAAAUGCGUAGAUAUCUGGAGGAACAUCGGUGGCGAAGGCGACAUCCUGGACCGGUAUUGACGCUGAGGCGCGAAAGCCAGGGGAGCAAACGGGAUUAGAUACCCCGGUAGUCCUGGCCCUAAACGAUGAAUGCUUGGUGUGGCGGGUAUCGAUCCCUGCCGUGCCGAAGCUAACGCAUUAAGCAUUCCGCCUGGGGAGUACGGUCGCAAGGCUG